UUUAAACCCGGACUGCUCAGGGAAACUCACUGAGAACUGGAUCGCGGUCUUCAAGGACAAAAUACUUUGCUUCGCCAGCUGAGAAGCAGGCCCAAUAUAUUUUCUUCGAAGUGCAGAUACACAAGGUGACAUCGCUUUAAGACUUCUGCCAGUGGUCCUCCCAACACCAGUCUACAAGAUUGGCAGGAAGACUUUCUGACCCAGCUUCAAUGAGACCAGAAAGUCCUUCAUUGACUUGCAGCUUUGCAUGCAUUCAACAAGCUUUGGACGAAGGACUUCCACAGGGCCGCCAUCUCCAAAGUUCACUCAAAAAGGCAAUAGCUCUGAACUGGGUUUGAUUGCAUUUUUGUUUUAAUUAUGAAAAUGUAAUUAUUUUAAACUUCCAUUGGUUGGAAUCUAUUGCUCAGUUAUCACUUGGCUCAUGUAAAUAAUU
Molecule: long non-coding RNA, 433 nt
Organism: Coregonus clupeaformis (lake whitefish)
Lineage: Eukaryota; Metazoa; Chordata; Actinopteri; Salmoniformes; Salmonidae
Exons: 3
Source: RefSeq, a predicted model, not a curated record